AUACGGAGGAUCCGAGCGUUAUCCGGAUUUAUUGGGUUUAAAGGGUGCGCGGGCGGCCAUUUAAGUCAGCGGUUAAAUCGUGGGGCUCAACCCCAUUCUGCCGUUGAUACUGGGUGGCUUGAUUGCGGUCGAGGCGGGCGGGACGUGGCGUGUAGCGGUGAAAAGCGUAGAUAUGCCACCGAAAGCCGAUAGCGGAGGCAGCUCGCCAGGCCUGCAUUGACGCUCGGGCACGAAAGCGUGGGGAUCGAACAGGAUUAGAUCCCCUGGUAGUCCACGCCGUAAACGAUGGGCGCUCGUCGUCGGCGGCAGACAGUCGGCGGCCAAGCGAAAGCGAUAAGCGCCCCACCUGGGGAGUACGGUCGCAAGGCUGAAACUCAAAUGAAUUGGCGGGG
This 392-nucleotide ribosomal RNA is filed under the name uncultured bacterium. RNAcentral's name for it is "partial 16S ribosomal RNA". It matches the Rfam family "Bacterial small subunit ribosomal RNA", at positions 523 to 918 of the family's 1533-position model. The record is from RNAcentral.